AGACCUUACAGUGAAAUGCUGAAUAUACAACAGGUGUAGGUAGACCUUACAGUGAAAUGCUGAAUACAACAGGCAUAGAUAGACCUUACAGUGAAAUGCUGAAUGCAACAGGCAUAGAUAGACCUUACAGUGAAAUGCUGAAUGCAACAGGCAUAGAUAGACCUUACAGUGAAAUGCUGAAUACAACAGGUGUAGGUAGACCUUACAGUGAAAUGCUGAAUACAACAGGUGUAGGUAGACCUUACAGUGAAAUGCUGAAUACAACAGGUGUAGGUAGACCUUACAGUGAAAUGCUUACUUACAGGCUCUAACCAAUAGUGCAAAAAAGGUAUUAGGUGAACAAUAGGUAAGUAAAGAAAUAAAAACAACAGUAAACAGACAGGCUAUAUACAGUGGCGAGGCUAUAAAAGUAGUGAGGCUAUAAAAGUAGUGAGGCUAUAAAAGUAGUGAGGCUAUAAAAGUAGUGAGGCUAUAAAAGUAGUGAGGCUAUAUAAGUA
Molecule: long non-coding RNA, 497 nt
Organism: Oncorhynchus keta (chum salmon)
Lineage: Eukaryota; Metazoa; Chordata; Actinopteri; Salmoniformes; Salmonidae
Exons: 2
Source: RefSeq, a predicted model, not a curated record